UGCCAGACUCCUACGGGAGGCAGCAGUGAGGAAUAUUGGUCAAUGGGCGGAAGCCUGAACCAGCCAAGUCGCGUGAGGGACUAAGGCCCUGCGGGUCGUAAACCUCUUUUGCCGGGGAGCAACGGGGUCCUUGCGAGGGCCCAAUGAGAGUACCCGGAGAAAAAGCAUCGGCUAACUCCGUGCCAGCAGCCGCGGUAAUACGGAGGAUGCGAGCGUUAUCCGGAUUUAUUGGGUUUAAAGGGUGCGUAGGCGGAAUGCCAAGUCAGCGGUAAAAUCGCGGGGCUCAACCUCGCUCCGCCGUUGAAACUGGCGUUCUUGAGUGGGCGAGAAGUAUGCGGAAUGCGUGGUGUAGCGGUGAAAUGCAUAGAUAUCACGCAGAACUCCGAUUGCGAAGGCAGCAUACCGGCGCCCAACUGACGCUGAAGCACGAAAGCGUGGGUAUCGAACAGGAUUAGAUACCCGCGUA
RNAcentral lists this ribosomal RNA (466 nucleotides) under uncultured bacterium. Its description in RNAcentral is "bacterial SSU rRNA". It matches the Rfam family "Bacterial small subunit ribosomal RNA", at positions 329 to 792 of the family's 1533-position model. The record is from RNAcentral.